Molecule: ribosomal RNA, 274 nt
Filed under: uncultured bacterium
Lineage: Bacteria
Description: partial 16S ribosomal RNA
Rfam family: Bacterial small subunit ribosomal RNA
Source: RNAcentral
AUACGAAAGGUGCAAGCGUUGUUCGGAUUUACUGGGCGUAAAGAGAGUGUAGGUUGUUUAUUAAGUCGGAUGUGAAAUCCCGGGGCUCAACCCCGGAACUGCAUUCGAUACUGAUAGGCUAGAGUUCGGGAGGGGUAAGCGGAAUUCCGUGUGUAGCAGUGAAAUGCGUAGAUAUACGGAGGAACACCUGAGGCGAAGGCGGCUUACUGGACCGAUACUGACACUGAGACUCGAAAGCGUGGGUAGCAAACAGGAUUAGAAACCCCAGUAGUCC